UACGUAAGGGGCAAGCGUUAUCCGGAUUUACUGGGGUGUAAAGGGAGCGUAGACGGUGAGGCAAGUCUGAUGUGAAAACCCGGGGCUCAACUCCGGGAUUGCAUUGGAAACUGUCUGACUUGAGUACUGGAGGGGUAAGCGGAAUUCCUGGUGUAGCGGUGAAAUGCGUAGAUAUCAGGAGGAACACCGGUGGCGAAGGCGGCUUACUGGACAGUAACUGACGUUGAGGCUCGAAAGCGUGGGGAGCAAACAGGAUUAGAUACCCCUGUAGUCCCUGAGCGGG
This 283-nucleotide ribosomal RNA is filed under the name uncultured prokaryote. RNAcentral's name for it is "partial 16S ribosomal RNA". It matches the Rfam family "Bacterial small subunit ribosomal RNA", at positions 524 to 803 of the family's 1533-position model. The record is from RNAcentral.